CCUACGGGUGGCAGCAGUGGGGGAUAUUGCACAAUGGGGGAAACCCUGAUGCAGCGACGCCGCGUGGGUGAAGAAGCGCCUCGGCGCGUAAAGCCCUGUCAGCAGGGAAGAAAAUGACGGUACCUGAAGAAGAAGCCCCGGCUAACUACGCGCCCGCAGCCGCGGUAAUAUGGAGGGGGCAAGCGUGAUCCGGAUGUACUGGGGGUAAAGGGGGCGCAGACGGGGGUGCAAGCCAGGAGUGAAAGCCCCGGGCCCAACCCCGGGACUGCGCUUGGAACUGGCUGGCUAGAGUGCAGGAGGGGCAGGCGGAAUUCCUGGUGUAGCGGUGAAAUGCGUAGAUAUCAGGAGGAACACCGGUGGCGAAGGCGGCCUGCUGGACUGCAACUGACGUUGAGGCCCGAAAGCGUGGGGAGCAAACAGGAUUAGAUACCCUUGUAGUC
RNAcentral lists this ribosomal RNA (440 nucleotides) under uncultured bacterium. Its description in RNAcentral is "partial 16S ribosomal RNA". It matches the Rfam family "Bacterial small subunit ribosomal RNA", at positions 338 to 795 of the family's 1533-position model. The record is from RNAcentral.